Non-coding RNA from Prunus avium (sweet cherry), 367 nucleotides. NCBI's taxonomy places the organism in Eukaryota, Viridiplantae, Streptophyta, Magnoliopsida, Rosales, Rosaceae. The record is from RefSeq and is a predicted model, not a curated record.
AGUACACCUUAUUUUAUUCAGGACAUAAGAAUUGGGUCCUUUGUAUUGCAUGGUCACCUGAUGGUAAACAUCUUGUUAGUGGGAGUAAAGCCGGGGAACUCCAAUGUUGGGAUCCACAGACUGGGAAGCCAUCAGGCAAUCCACUUAUAGGCCAUAAGAAAUGGAUUACUGGAAUCUCUUGGGAACCAGUCCACCUGAACUCUCCCUGUCGACGCUUUGUAAGUGCUAGCAAAGAUGGUGAUGCACGCAUAUGGGACGUUACAUUGAGGAAAUCUGUUAUAUGUCUUAGUGGCCACACACUUGCAGUGACGUGUGUAAAAUGGGGGGGAGAUGGUGUUAUAUAUACAGGGUCCCAGGAUUGUACUAU